This is a long non-coding RNA of Carassius gibelio (silver crucian carp), 1516 nucleotides long. RefSeq lists it as uncharacterized. The transcript has 6 exons. The record is from RefSeq and is a predicted model, not a curated record. NCBI's taxonomy places the organism in Eukaryota, Metazoa, Chordata, Actinopteri, Cypriniformes, Cyprinidae.
GUCCCACUAUUAUGUGCAGGCUUGGCAUUUUGCACUGGGCUAUAGAACUACAAAAUGAAUUUUAAAUUAGAAAUAUCAUAAUUGAAUGACAUUUUGAAUUAUGUAGUGAUCUAAUUCUAUCCACCAAACAAUUGCAUGUGAAUGUGUGAGAAUUAUGGUCAUGGUUAUAGGGAAAUAACAAGAAGAACAAAGUGCAGUAAACGGUAAAACUGUUUGCACUACAAACCAGUUCGUUCAUAAUUAAGACAAUACAUUAAAAAUAACAUGGUAAGAUACAGCAGUUUGCAACAGUAAACAGCAAAACAAGCUGUUUGUACAGCUAAUAUAGCUGGAAUGACACCGAAAGCCAGACACAUUACAUUUACAAAUGGCCGCGGCCCCUCUUACAGAAAAAAAAAUAAGGGGCAUAUGUUUAUUCAUAUGUUUAUUUAUGUAACGUAAGAGUGUGACUUUUAAUUCGUGACGUGCUUUCAUGGGCGUGCGCCGCGCGCGGACCGGAUGGAGUUGCCAUGGAAACGGAGCGCAACACUGCAAAUGUCACGAGGAAACACCCCGUUUCUCGCUGAUUUCACUGUUUUCAGGAAUGGUUUAAUGUCUUCGAAAAAGUCCGUUAGCAUUUCUACCGUUUUCAGACGACGUAUCGUCAGAAGGGAGUGUCCAAGAUUUCAAUAUUUCUGAAGGGAGCUGCUGACAGAGAUGUAGGAAGCGCUGAAAAGAUUCUUCAGUGCUGAUGGCCUGCUGCAUCCAGCAGAGUCGCAGUGAACCUACUGUAAGACAACAUCUCCAAGAUGCUAUUGACCACAAGACUAGUACAGGUUAUUAGAAACUGCACAGCACAGGACUUGUGAGGACUUCAGAUGAUACCAGUACUCAAAAGACCUUAGAUGAUGGCAACUAUAGAUGGACAUACAAACUACCGCCACUGCAAAAAAGAUUCUAAUUUGAAAGAUGUUUAUAAUGCAUGUUCGCUACUCCCAAUUCAGAAGACUGAAUCAGCCUGUGUAUCUGAAUGUUUCUCAUACUCACUCCUCUCUGCCACGUCUGAAUUUAGCUGUCAGUUAUAAACAUCAAAAUUAAAAGAAAUAAACAUUUGAAAUAUAUCAGUCUGUGUGUAAUGAAUAAAUAUAAUACACAAGUUUCACUUUUUGAAUGGAAUUAGUGAAAUAAAUCAACUUUUUGAUGAUAUUCUAAUUAUAUGACCAGCACCUGUAUAUCAUUGCUCUUUUGUUGAUUUUGAUUGCUUCCAUUGUCCUCAUUUGUAAGUUGCUUUGGAUAAAAGUGUCUGCUUAAUGUAAAUGUAAUGUUAAUGUGUAUUUAACUAUAUUUAUAAAUAUUUAUCUGUAUUUUUUAUUUUGUAAUAAUGUAAAUGUAUUUGUUUUAUAUCUAUACAUGCAGUUGUAUUCAUGUAUGUAUAUUUAUUUGUCUAAUUUUUAUAUUUUAAUAAAGCAGUUUAGACUACAUGAGUGUUUUCUUUAUUCUGGAUGAAUUACAUAUUCUUUUGUGUCUAGAAAGGGUU